Small nuclear RNA from Jaculus jaculus (lesser Egyptian jerboa), 104 nucleotides. NCBI's taxonomy places the organism in Eukaryota, Metazoa, Chordata, Mammalia, Rodentia, Dipodidae. The record is from Ensembl.
GUGCUGUCUUUGGCAGCACAUAUACUAAACUUGGAAUGAUACAGAGAAGAUUAGCAUUCCCGUGUAAGAAUGACAUACAAAAUCAUGAAGUGUUUCAUAUUUAA